Pieris rapae (cabbage white) is the source of this 327-nucleotide long non-coding RNA. RefSeq lists it as uncharacterized. The record is from RefSeq and is a predicted model, not a curated record. The transcript is spliced from 5 exons. Lineage: Eukaryota; Metazoa; Arthropoda; Insecta; Lepidoptera; Pieridae.
AUAUAUAGAAGCAUUUCCUUUAGAGAACAUUAUUAAAUCAAGUACCUUAAUAAUAACAGCAAAAUGAUGAAAGCACUGCUUUUUGUUUGCUUCGUUGUUUUAUUCUACACCGCUCUUGCGUUACCAGCUGAUCCAGUAGACCCCAAAGCCGCCGCCGGCGCCGUAACCCCUCCCGCUGCUAUACCUAAGGACGGUCCUGGUUUUGGAUUCUUCAGCCGGAUAUCGAAAUCUGUAGGAUCGCUUUUUUAAGUGAUGGAAAACAUACAACUACCACUAUUAAUCCGGAAACGCAACAUGCUUAAUUAGAAAUAAAUAUCUUGAAUUUGA